Molecule: ribosomal RNA, 378 nt
Filed under: Triticum aestivum (bread wheat)
Lineage: Eukaryota; Viridiplantae; Streptophyta; Magnoliopsida; Poales; Poaceae
Description: partial small subunit ribosomal RNA
Source: RNAcentral
AUGUUUAUCCAGAUAACUGCUUGCGCCGUAGAGUCAGAUGAAACAUAUGAUAUGGCUGCUAAAUGCGCGGAGCAGCUAGCACGAGAUGUGGAAAAACAGUUGAAAAUUAGAACUGAUCCAGAUCCAAGCUCGAAUUUGGGUAACUCCUCAGUUUCACAAGGUACGAACAUUGACUCUAGUAGAGUUUUAAAACAUAAUGAGGGGCUUGAAAGGCCGAAAGAUAUGAAGGUCAAGGAGAAGACUGCACGAGGAUCAGCAAGGCCCAUUGGUGGCUUGAAGAAAGCAAAAACAAAGAAGAAAAAGAAGAUAGAUGAUUCUUUCCAACUACAACCUGAAAUGCCUUCACAAAUCAAAUGUUUGUGCAUAACCCAAUGUUGA